Molecule: ribosomal RNA, 1160 nt
Filed under: uncultured marine group II euryarchaeote HF500_11G07
Lineage: Archaea; Methanobacteriati; Thermoplasmatota; Candidatus Poseidoniia; Candidatus Poseidoniales
Description: bacterial SSU rRNA
Rfam family: Archaeal small subunit ribosomal RNA
Source: RNAcentral
GAAUAAUACCCCAUAGUUCACCACGCCUGGAACGGUGGGUGGAUCAAAGCCCCGGCGGCAUAGGAUGGGCCUGCGGCGUAUCAGGUUGUAGGGGGUGUAAUGUACCCUCUAGCCCUCUACGCGUACGGGUGUUGAGAGACAUAGCCCGGAGAUGGAUUCUGAGACACGAAUCCAGACCCUACGGGGUGCAGCAGGCGCGAAAACUUGGCAAUGCGAGAAAUCGUGACCAGGGAACUCCAAGUGCAUCGGGUAAGACCGAUGCUUUUCUUGACUCUUCAAAGGUCUUGGAAUAAGGGGUGGGUAAGGACGGUGCCAGCCGCCGCGGUAAUACCGGCGCCCCAAGUGGUAGUCGCUUUUAUUGGGCCUAAAACGUCCGUAGCCGGUCUGGUACAUUCGUGGGUAAAUCAACCAGCUCAACUGGUUGAAUUCUGCGAGCACGGCCAGACUUGGGACCGGGAGAGGUGUGGGGUACUCUCAGGGUAGGGGUAAAAUCCUGUCAUCCUGAGAGGACCACCUGUUGCGAAGGCGCCACACUAGAACGGAUCCGACGGUCAGGGACGAAGCCUAGGGGCACGAACCGGAUUAGAUACCCGGGUAGUCCUAGGUGUAAACGCUGUGGACUUGAUGUUGGGAGCGCUCCGAGCGCCCUCAGUGUCGAAGCGAAGGUGAUAAGUCCACUGCCUGGGGAGUACGGUCGCAAGGCUGAAACUUAAAGGAAUUGGCGGGGGAGCACCGCAACCUGAGGAUUGUGCGGUUUAAUUGGAUUCAACGCCGGAAAACUCACCAUAGCCGACGGACAUAUGAAGGCCAGCGUAAUGAGCUUGCCGGAUUGUUCGAGAGGUAGUGCAUGGCCGUCGUCAGUUCGUACCGCAAGGCGUUCUGUUAAGUCAGAUAACGAACGAGACCCUCAUCCCUAUUUGCUAACUUGAUCUCAGGAUCAGGCGCACUAUAGGGAGACCGCUGGCGCGAAGUCAGAGGAAGGCGAGGGCAACGGUAGGUCAGUAUGCUCCGAAUGCUAUGGGCUACACGCGCAAUACAAAGGACGGGACAAUGGGCUGCUGCUCCGAAAGGAACGAUGGCUAUCCCGAAACCCGUUCGUAGUUCGGAUUGAGGGCUGUAACUCGCCCUCAUGAAGCUGGAUUAGGUAGUAAUCGCGUCUC